GAGGAUAAGAGUGCGUGCGCGUCGCUGUCCUCCUCCCCUCCUCCCAACUUGCUAAUCUCGUUCACAAGACUGGCGGGCUCGAGGCUGCAGUUUCUCUCUCCCGCGCCCGCGCGCGCUCCCGCCUUAGCACUAGACCGUUGCCACACAAAAUGGCGUCGGAGACAAAAUUCCUAGUGCGGGCAAGGCGGAAAGUAGCGCUUGCGUAUGAAGUGUGGUGGCCAGAAUUGUGCACAGGACAACAGGUCUUCGCAGUACAGCCUGUCAUUUUAUUGGCCUUGUUAAUUGCCUCUGCAGGACGCCUGGACAAUCAGAAUACCGUGCCAGUCCUUUGCAGAGGGUUCUUCCGGUAAGACAUCAUUAUUAGAUUCGAUAAACUUUAUUAAUCCCAGGACAGAGACUCCUUAUCAUGCCCGUGCGUCGCACUUUAAACCUUUCCACGUGUUUAUCCGUCUUUUAAAGCGCGCUUGGCCCUUGUGAAUUGUUUUGCUGCUGUCCCUCCCGUUUCAGUGUCAUACCGUCUAUACCAGGAUGAAUCAAGUUCACCAAAAUAGACCAGAAAGAGUAGCAGAGCCCUCAGCAAGACUGCGUUGUCGGACUUGAGUAGCGGUGCCAAGAUGGUUACCAGCUAACCUCCUGUCACCUAAACAAAGCAGUUCAAAGGUUGCUUUACAAGAGAGACAGACAACUGAAAGAAAGCGUCUCUACUAAAAUUCUCAAAUUCUGCACUUCUAGGAAGAUGUACAGCAUCGGUUUGCUCUUCAAUGACUAACCAGACUCCAGUGGCUGUCCACCCAGUCUCACAAAUGUGAAAAGGACACUUUAGAAACACUGACAAUCUCUUAACAAGAACAGCAAAACACCCUUAAAAAGCCGGAACUUGUAAUACUUACAGGCCCCACAAUAUCAGAGACGUGAGACACUGUAGUCCCAGAAGCCGCUCCAAGGUACAUC
This is a long non-coding RNA of Polypterus senegalus (gray bichir), 951 nucleotides long. RefSeq lists it as uncharacterized. The transcript has 3 exons. Lineage: Eukaryota; Metazoa; Chordata; Cladistia; Polypteriformes; Polypteridae. The record is from RefSeq and is a predicted model, not a curated record.